UACAGAGGGGGCAAGCGUUAUUCGGAAUUAUUGGGCGUAAAGGGCGCGUAGGCGGCCUGGCAAGUGGAAGGUGAAAUCCCUCGGCUUAACCGAGGAACUGCCCUCCAAACUGCUUGGCUUGAGUCCGGUAGAGGAGUGUGGAAUUCCCGGUGUAGCGGUGAAGUGCGCAGAUAUCGGGAGGAACACCCGUAGCGAAGGCGGCACUCUGGGCCGGAACUGACGCUGAGGAGCGAAAGCGUGGGGAGCAAACAGG
This 253-nucleotide ribosomal RNA is filed under the name uncultured bacterium. Its description in RNAcentral is "partial 16S ribosomal RNA". It matches the Rfam family "Bacterial small subunit ribosomal RNA", at positions 524 to 776 of the family's 1533-position model. The record is from RNAcentral.